This is a long non-coding RNA of Cercocebus atys (sooty mangabey), 361 nucleotides long. RefSeq lists it as uncharacterized. Lineage: Eukaryota; Metazoa; Chordata; Mammalia; Primates; Cercopithecidae. The record is from RefSeq and is a predicted model, not a curated record. The transcript is spliced from 3 exons.
GGCACACAGCUGAGAUAUUUGGAAAUAUUUUGAUUCAUUUGGUGUCUUGCUGUUUAAGAUUUGGUCAGACAUUUCUAAAUGGAGUCUUCUGUGGACACCUUUGAGCACUGAAUGACAGAUGGCAUAGAGUGAUGGAUAAAGAAAUGGACCCAGAUAGGAGAUCUGGAUUCUAACCCUUCCUCCCUCGCUAUGUGACCCAAUUUAAGUGCCAGGAGUUGAAAUGCAUUCAAGAGUUCCAGAAUAAGGAUCAAUUGCUAACACGACACCAUGACCAUGUCCCUCAAUGUCACUGUACAAUUCCCUCAACGAAUGACAAGUUGUGUUUCUCCUGACUUGUCUGAACUGGAUCGGUUUCUGCUUU